Melospiza melodia melodia is the source of this 3786-nucleotide long non-coding RNA. RefSeq lists it as uncharacterized. Lineage: Eukaryota; Metazoa; Chordata; Aves; Passeriformes; Passerellidae. The transcript has 6 exons. The record is from RefSeq and is a predicted model, not a curated record.
CACUGGAGCGUGGUGGCAAUGGUCUCUGUUCCAGCCAUGACCAGGUCAAGUAUGGAUGCCAUUAAGUUGUCAUCAUGGAAGAGGCUGUCCUUCUUGUGCUUCUCCUUGAAAAACACAAGAGCUAAAGCCUUACAUGAAGCAGAGGAUGGACAAAGCAAGAAGUCCUCUGAAAUAGUCAGGGGUGGAAAAACUAUGGGAUUGUUUGUAGGGCUGAAUUUCCAAACUCAGCCUCUUGCUUCUGAAGCUGUUUCAGGCUGGACAACCUGAGAACUUUUGUGGGGAGGCAAAGGUGUGGGAACUGACAGGACAAAGGCAGUGGGAGAAAGGGAAAAACCCGACAGCUCCCAGCAGCCAAGCCAGGUAGUCCAAAGUCUCCUGGAAACGUGAGGAGGGUUCAUAAACCAGUGGUGACAGCGAGCUGCUCACACCAACAUCGCACAGAGAUUAACCCCGGAGUUACCACAGUGCCUCCAAAAUCCCACUCCUCCCACCCCUCAACUCUUUGGAUACGGACGGGCUGCAAGUGCAUCAGCAGAAAUGAUGGAAAGCCAGGAGCCACUGUGUGCAGGGAAAGCCAAAUGUUUGCUGUCACUUGGCUUCAGAAGGGGAUGUUUAAAAGCUGGGCUCCAGGGAUGCACAGUUGGGCUGUGCCUCAUCAUCAUCAUCAUCACGGGCACUAAGCGACAGUGUUGUCCUCCCACCCCCCCCUCAUUGCUCUAGUACCGUUUUUGUUCUGAAUUUGGUCAAAUAUUGGGAUGGAUGGUCUGUCUACAAACUCCUCUGUGUAGUUCACAAGCGCCUCUCGCACAACUUCGUACCCGGUCAGCACCACAACUUUCUGGAACCCAAAGUGCAGGGUGAAGAUGGGGCCGUAUUUUUCUGCAAGCUGAAAAAAAAGAGGAGAGCUGUGAUGGUCAGGAAGGGAGGGAGAGUGCAUGGAGCAGCAUCUUGUGCUGUCUGAAAGGACAUUUUUCAUCCUGGUGUCCUGCAGAGCCACCACCUGCAGAAGGGCACCUGUGAGCCAGAGCUCACCGUGGUCAAACAUGAGGCAUUUUGUACAGAUGCCUUGAUGACAUCUGUAUGGAAUUCAGACUUCUUGCCAUGAAGGAGCCCCCACCCCCAUCAGUGCAUCACUAAUCUGGUUUUGCCGUUAAGGAGAAAAUAAAUGGAAAACAAAAAAAAAAAAAAAUCUAAAGACUGGACCUUAAAUUGCAACUAAAGUUGGCAAACUGGAGAAAGACUAAAAAAGAGAAGAUAGUUCAGUGCAAAUAAUGAUGCUGUCACAGAAGAAAGCUGUGGUCUGAUGCUCCUGAUGUACUAAAGCACUCCUGCAUCCUGCUGCUAGUGGAGCAGUGUCUCUUUCACAGGACAAUGGGGGCACCCUUCAUUGCCCACCCAACAAACCCCAGUCGGUGCCAGCUGCUUUGUGCAAACACCAUUCUUUGCUCUCCGUGGGGUGAGAUGGAGGGAUAACCCCUCUGGAGAGAUCCCAAAGCCAAGGCAAACACAGGCAAUACCAAGCACAGCCCAGUAAGGGACAAAAGCACGCGGAGGUAAUUCCAAAGCGCCGUUCAGAGGCUGCAGCAGCGUCUGCCCAGCCCUGCUGGGUAAACUGACCCCAACCCUGACACUGCCCAUAACAGCUCCAGGUGCUGGGGCCUCGCCCCGUGGCAGCACAGCCCGUGUUUGCUGAGCAUGGGUGUCACACCUGGCUGUGAACCCCCCUGCCUGUUUGCUCACUCUCUCUGUGACCCCAGCAUGGGUCAGCCCCGAGGGAGCCAUCCCUGAGGGAGCCAUCCCCGAGAGAACCAUCCCAAAGGAACCAUCCUGAAGGAACCAUCCCGAAGGAACCAUCCUCUAAAGCCGGCGGGAAUGCCCAGCAGCCCCAGGAGAAGCCUCAUCCUGCACACAGUGGGGGCACAGCACAGACCAGGUGAGGCAUGGGAGUCAAGGUGAAGCCAACAUCAGCAGUGAGAUCCAGGUCUGACUUCUCCACUCCUGGAGGAGGCUGGAAAACAAAUCUGCGGAGCAAGCCCGAAAAGAAGAGGAACAGCUCCAUCCUGGCCAGUCCUUCACCAAGGCAAGCCCUUCUCCCUGAAGACAACCAGGGGAGAAGUUAAUGGUCAGCACAGUAACUGUUAGUGUUGAUGUCUGAGACAUUCUAAACAGGAGAUAGUCUGGAAGAGCAGGCUGCUGAGGAAUUGCACAUUUGCCCCUGCCUGCUGGCUCAGCCCCUACCUCUGUCAGCGACUGGAAUGGCUUUUUCAGGUCCACCACGUUCAGGUUCCCGAUCACAGGAAGAGGUCGUGGCCCAGGGGGCAAAUUGCAAACGGACUUCUUGGAGCUGGAGAGAAAGUACAGGAGAGCAAAGAGCCCUGCUGCCAAACAGAGCAGUGAGCAGGAGCCCAGGGUCAAAACUCAAGGACAGGAGCCAUGCUGGAUGCUGUCCCUGUGCCAGGUCACAGGAUUCAUCUGGACCCCGGUGAUGCAAUGGAGGAAGCAGGGCACAGGUGGGAAAGGCCACAACAAUUCACAGCCCAGGGUAAGCAAGCCCUUGGGGAGGACAAGACUGACCAUGGACAAGCUGGAAUGGUGGGAUGAAGAUGUGUUAAUCAGGAUUGCUGACAGGAGCAGAUCUAUUUACAGGAACCUGAAUUGAAAGGGAGAAAAAUGGUUUACAACAGCCUGUGGCAGUGAUGGAGCAAGAGCCUUAUGUAAGAGCUGGCGGAGGUGAGGCAGCAAUGAGUGAUCCUGGAAGGAUGUUUCUCUGAGGUGUGUUCUCUCCUGGCCUGGGAACAGCAGUCUCAAGGGCACAAAUUCCAGCAUCUGAAUGUGCUUGGUCUUGUUCAGCUCAUUAAUUUCCUACAGCUAUCCCAAGUCAAGCUAUGAAAUCCCCUAGUGCUUUACCCCGAGCCUUUCAUGGCUUGUCAAUAAAUUAUUUUCCAAUUAAGUACCUGAUAAUUUGAGUCUGCAGGCUCUUAGGAGAGGCAGCGUGGUGAGAGAGAGAAAAUAAUGGAAGUCAUGGACGUUUCCCUGCCUGUAAAAUGAAUAAAGGUUCUUCUCUGAAGUGUUACUCAAUUUGGUGCUUCCACAAAGCAAUGGUGAGUGUGUAAUAACUCCUUCUGAGGAGGUGUUUGUCCACCUGAUGGAUAAAAACCACCAGUGGAGUGAGUUUUCAGCACUACCUGAAACACUGGAAAAGAACAGUUUUAAAUGUUAUUUCAGUCCAUAUUAAUGAUGAAAGGUCUGAUUCAAGCAAAGGAUUUUUAUUUCUUUUUUAGUGUUUCAAGCUGUGUAACUUGAAAGGGGAAAAGCCAAGAUUUUCCCUAGUUUGGGAAAUCUUCUAAUUCAAGGAUUUCAAUUUUUGGCAAGGGCUCGGGACUCCAUGCUAGAGAUACUAUGAAAUACCACAAAUUAUCUAAUAUCUCUUGUACAAUGAGCACCCUUUUGUUGAAGCAGCUAUUUCAGAUUUCCCUGAUGCAGUCAAAGUCUCUUGCUCCUUUGAAAGAUAAUAUGUGAAAAACAUUUCAUUCUCUGUUUGUGGCACUGCUGUUUGUGGCUCUGUUUUUGUUGAGUUCUUUUGGAACUGGUUGGUUUAAUCCACAAAUGAGUUUUUUCCCUCACAAUGAUUAUCUAAUGGGGAUUUUAUUUGAUCUCCUUGGGAAAAAUUUAUCGUGAGUUGCUCAAGCAUGUGUAUUAGAUUGUAUGAGAACCUGUACCUUUAAAGGAAAUUCUAGAAGGUACAACUGGCAUUUGCAAUAAAAACAUUAAGUAAUCAUAACCAAA